UACGUAGGGGGGCAAGCGUUGUCCGGAUUUAUUGGGCGUAAAGAGCGUGUAGGCGGCCAGGUAGGUCAGCUGUGAAAACUCGAGGCUCAACCUCGAGACGCCGGUUGAAACCAUCUGGCUAGAGUCCGGAAGAGGAGACUGGAAUUCCUGGUGUAGCGGUGAAAUGCGCAGAUAUCAGGAGGAACACCGGUGGCGAAGGCGGGUCUCUGGGCAGUAACUGACGCUGAGGAGCGAAAGCGUGGGGAGCGAACAGG
RNAcentral lists this ribosomal RNA (254 nucleotides) under uncultured bacterium. RNAcentral's name for it is "partial 16S ribosomal RNA". It matches the Rfam family "Bacterial small subunit ribosomal RNA", at positions 524 to 776 of the family's 1533-position model. The record is from RNAcentral.